UACGUAGGGUGCGAGCGUUAAUCGGAAUUACUGGGCGUAAAGCGUGCGCAGGCGGUUUUGUAAGCCAGAUGUGAAAUCCCCGGGCUUAACCUGGGAAUGGCAUUUGGGACUGCAAGGCUGGAGUGCGGCAGAGGAGACUGGAAUUCCUGGUGUAGCAGUGAAAUGCGCAGAUAUCAGGAGGAACACCGGUGGCGAAGGCGGGUCUCUGGGCCAUAACUGACGCUGAGGAGCGAAAGCGUGGGGAGCGAACAGG
RNAcentral lists this ribosomal RNA (253 nucleotides) under uncultured bacterium. RNAcentral's name for it is "partial 16S ribosomal RNA". It matches the Rfam family "Bacterial small subunit ribosomal RNA", at positions 524 to 776 of the family's 1533-position model. The record is from RNAcentral.